UACGUAGGGCGCGAGCGUUGUCCGGAAUUAUUGGGCGUAAAGAGCUCGUAGGCGGCCUGUCGCGUCAAUUGUGAAAGCCCGGGGCUCAACUCCGGGCCUGCAGUCGAUACGGGCAGACUAGAGUUCGGUAGGGGAGACUGGAAUUCCUGGUGUAGCGGUGAAAUGCGCAGAUAUCAGGAGGAACACCGGUGGCGAAGGCGGGUCUCUGGGCCGAAACUGACGCUGAGGAGCGAAAGCGUGGGGAGCAAACAGG
RNAcentral lists this ribosomal RNA (253 nucleotides) under uncultured bacterium. Its description in RNAcentral is "partial 16S ribosomal RNA". It matches the Rfam family "Bacterial small subunit ribosomal RNA", at positions 524 to 776 of the family's 1533-position model. The record is from RNAcentral.